This 1262-nucleotide ribosomal RNA is filed under the name metagenome. RNAcentral describes it as "bacterial SSU rRNA". It matches the Rfam family "Bacterial small subunit ribosomal RNA", at positions 243 to 1520 of the family's 1533-position model. The record is from RNAcentral.
AGCUAGUUGGUGUGGUAAUGGCGCACCAAGGCUUCGAUCAGUAGCUGGUCUGAGAGGAUGAUCAGCUACACUGGGACUGAGACACGGCCCAGACUCCUACGGGAGGCAGCAGUGGGGAAUUUUCCGCAAUGGGCGAAAGCCUGACGGAGCAACGCCGCGUGAGGGAUGAAGGCCUCUGGGCUGUAAACCUCUUUUCUCAAGGAAGAAGAACUGACGGUACUUGAGGAAUAAGCCACGGCUAAUUCCGUGCCAGCAGCCGCGGUAAUACGGGAGUGGCAAGCGUUAUCCGGAAUUAUUGGGCGUAAAGCGUCCGCAGGCGGCCUUGUAAGUCUGCUGUCAAAGCGUGGAGCUUAACUCCAUUUCGGCAGUGGAAACUACAAGGCUUGAGUGUGGUAGGGGCAGAGGGAAUUCCCGGUGUAGCGGUGAAAUGCGUAGAUAUCGGGAAGAACACCAGUGGCGAAGGCGCUCUGCUGGGCCAUAACUGACGCUCAUGGACGAAAGCCAGGGGAGCGAAAGGGAUUAGAUACCCCUGUAGUCCUGGCCGUAAACGAUAAGCACUAGGUGUCGGGGGAAUCGACCCCCUCGGUGUCGUAGCCAACGCGUUAAGUGUUCCGCCUGGGGAGUACGCACGCAAGUGUGAAACUCAAAGGAAUUGACGGGGGCCCGCACAAGCGGUGGAGUAUGUGGUUUAAUUCGAUGCAACGCGAAGAACCUUACCAGGGUUUGACAUCCUGCGAACCCCUUGGAAACGAGGGGGUGCCUUCGGGAACGCAGUGACAGGUGGUGCAUGGCUGUCGUCAGCUCGUGUCGUGAGAUGUUGGGUUAAGUCCCGCAACGAGCGCAACCCACGUCGUUAGUUGCCAGCAUUAAGUUGGGCACUCUAGCGAGACCGCCGGUGAUAAACCGGAGGAAGGUGUGGAUGACGUCAAGUCAUCAUGCCCCUUACAUCCUGGGCUACACACGUACUACAAUGCUACGGACAAAGGGCAGCAAGCUCGCGAGAGUUAGCAAAUCCCAUAAACCGUGGCUCAGUUCAGAUCGUAGGCUGCAACUCGCCUACGUGAAGGAGGAAUCGCUAGUAAUCGCAGGUCAGCAUACUGCGGUGAAUACGUUCCCGGGCCUUGUACACACCGCCCGUCACACCAUGGAAGUUGGCCACGCCCGAAGUCGUUACUCCAACCCUUGUGGAGGAGGAUGCCGAAGGUGGGGCUGAUGACUGGGGUGAAGUCGUAACAAGGUAGCCGUACCGGAAGGUGCGGCUG